Molecule: non-coding RNA, 86 nt
Organism: Ceratotherium simum simum (southern white rhinoceros)
Lineage: Eukaryota; Metazoa; Chordata; Mammalia; Perissodactyla; Rhinocerotidae
Source: RefSeq, a predicted model, not a curated record
GGAGAGGAUUAGGGGUUAUAUGGGAACUCUGUACUUUGUGCUCAAUUUUGCUGGAAACCUAAAACUGCUCUAAAAAAUAAAGUCUA